RNAcentral lists this ribosomal RNA (530 nucleotides) under uncultured bacterium. Its description in RNAcentral is "bacterial SSU rRNA". It matches the Rfam family "Bacterial small subunit ribosomal RNA", at positions 956 to 1482 of the family's 1533-position model. The record is from RNAcentral.
GCAACGCGAAAAACCUUACCACUCCUUGACAUGGAAAUUAUACCUAUUCGAAGGGAUAGGGUCGGUUCGGCCGGGUUUCACACAGGUGUUGCAUGGCUGUCGUCAGCUCGUGUCGUGAGAUGUUGGGUUAAGUCCCGCAACGAGCGCAACCCUCAUCCUUAGUUACCAUCAGGUAAUGCUGGGGACUUUAAGGAGACUGCCAGUGAUAAACUGGAGGAAGGUGGGGAUGAUGUCAAGUCAUCAUGGCCCUUAUGGAGUGGGCUACACACGUGCUACAAUGGUGGCUACAAUGGGCUGCAAAGUCGCGAGGCUAAGCCAAUCCCUUAAAAGCCAUCUCAGUUCGGAUUGUACUCUGCAACUCGAGUGCAUGAAGUUGGAAUCGCUAGUAAUCGUGGAUCAGCACGCCACGGUGAAUACGUUCUCGGGUCUUGUACACACUGCCCGUCACGCCAUGGGAAUUGGUUUCACUCGAAGCUAACGACCUAACCGCAAGGAGGGAGUUAUUUAAAGUGGGAUCGGUGACUGGGGUG